CCUACGGGAGGCAGCAGUGGGGAAUAUUGCACAAUGGGGGAAACCCUGAAGCAGCCACGUCGCGUGAGUGAUGAAGUACCUCCGUAUGGUAAGCUCCAUUUGCAGGGAAGAUAAUGACGGUACGUGACCAUGAAGCCCCGGCCAACGACGAGCCAGCAGCGGUGGUUAUACGUAGGCGGCCAGCGUUAUCCGGAUUUUAUGGGUGUAAAGGGGGCGUAGGUGGGAGGGCAAGUCAGAUGUGAAAACCCGGGGCUCAACCCCAGGAGUGCAUUUGAAACUGUCCAGCUUGAGUGCAGGAGAGGUAAGCGGAAUGCGUGGUGUAGCGGUGAAAUGCAUAGAUAUUACGAAGAACUCCGAUGGCGAAGGCAGCUUACUGGACUGUAACUGACACUGAGGCUCGAAAGCGUGGGGAGCAAACAGGAUUAGAUACCCGGGUAGUC
This 440-nucleotide ribosomal RNA is filed under the name uncultured bacterium. Its description in RNAcentral is "partial 16S ribosomal RNA". It matches the Rfam family "Bacterial small subunit ribosomal RNA", at positions 338 to 795 of the family's 1533-position model. The record is from RNAcentral.